Long non-coding RNA from Chlorocebus sabaeus (green monkey), 1533 nucleotides. RefSeq lists it as uncharacterized. NCBI's taxonomy places the organism in Eukaryota, Metazoa, Chordata, Mammalia, Primates, Cercopithecidae. The record is from RefSeq and is a predicted model, not a curated record.
GGGCCGCCAGGGGAUGGAACUGGUUCUGCCAGGGUUGGAGAAGCUGCAAGCUGCGUUCUGCAGCGGCUCUAGUUUGGCGCUGCCCGCUGUUGGCUGGGGAGAGAAAUAGCUCCCAGGAACAGGAAGCCCGCAGGAAGCGGACGGGGAGCAAACAGGAAGAGCGAGUCCUGCCUCCUGCACUAGCCUAGUGGUGCUGCUCUAGCGCCCUAGCGCCCGGGCUGCAGAGCCUACACAGCCUACACAGAGCUGGCUGGCAGAGCGGAGCCGCAGCGGAGUCCCAGCUCCAGCAUCAUCAGUUGGAGCCCAGAGCAUGGAGCAUAGAGGUUGGGGUUGGCGGCCCUCCACUACUUUCUGUUCCUUCUUCAACGUUGACUCUUGCCUUGGACAGACUGAGCUGCCGACUGGCCCCUUCUCUCCAUUCUCUGGCUAGAAGAUGACUGAAGCCCCUCCGGGGAUCUGCAAAGCCUGCCAGACAGAGGGCCUGGAGCUAAGGGUUGCCGAUGACGUCUAUGCUCCUUUGGGAGGUGGCAAGGGAUCUGUUCCUGGAGGUGCUUGAGCAGAAGACAGAGCCUUUUGCCAAGGAUGUGGCAGAAGAGAUUCAAACAUAAUUCAAACAUUGUUAGGUAAUGAUUGGACCAGGCACCCUUGACUGUCUCUUUGCAGCUUAAGAUUCUCUGAUUUUAUGUUAAAAUAGACUUCAUGAAAAUGGGGAGGACUCUUGAAAGUGAGACCCCCUAUUUCCCUCCCUGUGUUUGGGGGUGACCGUGUUUAAGUCUUCCUUUUCCCCCCAAAUGGCUCCUUUCUUCUCCCCUUACUCGCUUCUUUAGUCCCCCCUGCCAAGGCCGGAUGAGCCUCAAAGCCAGUGUGGCCCAGGACUCACUUUUGCGCGUUCCAAAGCCCUUGUCAGCUGGAGCAAGGCAAUGGUGCGGGCUCUGGGCAAGCAUCUCAAACUUGGGGGCACAAACCCCGUGUUUAACCUAUUUUGCUACAGCAAGCAAUGGUUCUUCCGGUACCACACACCUUUGAAACUUUCCUUGUUUUGAGAUAUUCCCAUAUUCAAUUUCCUUUCUUAUCUCAAAAACUGAAAACAGCAAAGUUUAUUCAUUGCCCAUCCCAGUAUUCUUUUUCUUAUUAAAUUCAAUACAAUUUUUUUUCUAAGAGAUGGGAGUCUCACUUUAUUGCCCAGGUUGGCCUUGAACCCAUGGGCUCAAGUGAUCCUCCCACCUCAGCCUCCAGAGUAUCUGGGACUACAGGCACAUGCUACUGCACCUGGCUUUUAAAUUUCUACCUAGUUUUUUCCUUAUUAAUUUCAGUUGAAACAUUCAGCACCAGCCCAUGUUCUGCCUUACUGUGCUCUGCAAAUUAGCGCACAUCUCUUUUAUCGAUUCAGUAAUUGACAUUUCCCAAUAAAGUGGAGGCUUGUGUGGAAAGAUGGAGUCAAGACUCUGUUUUGAGACAGAGUCUCACUCUGUCGCCAGGCUGCAGUGCGAUGGCACGAUCUCAGCUCACUGCAACCUCCGCCUCUUGGGUUCA